This 520-nucleotide ribosomal RNA is filed under the name uncultured Scutellospora. RNAcentral describes it as "SSU rRNA". It matches the Rfam family "Eukaryotic small subunit ribosomal RNA", at positions 569 to 1095 of the family's 1831-position model. The record is from RNAcentral. Lineage: Eukaryota; Fungi; Glomeromycota; Glomeromycetes; Diversisporales; Gigasporaceae.
AGCAGCCGCGGUAAUUCCAGCUCCAAUAGCGUAUAUUAAAGUUGUUGCAGUUAAAAAGCUCGUAGUUGAAUUUCGGGGUUCUACCGUUGGUCGGGCUUUGUCUAUACUGACGUGUAGAAUUUCUACCUUCUGGGGAACCAUCAUGUUAUUAAUUUAACGUGGUGGGAAACCAGGACCUUUACCUUGAAAAAAUUAGAGUGUUCAAAGCAGGCUUAUGUCUGAAUACAUUAGCAUGGAAUAAUAGAAUAGGACGGUGGUCCUGUUUUGUUGGUUUCUGAAUCACCGUAAUGAUUAAUAGGGAUAGUUGGGGGCAUUAGUAUUCAAUUGUCAGAGGUGAAAUUCUUGGAUUUAUUGAAGACUAACUUCUGCGAAAGCAUUUGCCAAGGAUGUUUUCAUUAAUCAAGAACGAAAGUUAGGGGAUCGAAGACGAUCAGAUACCGUCGUAGUCUUAACCAUAAACUAUGCCGACUAGGGAUCGGACGAUGUUAAUUUUUCUUGACUCGUUCGGCGCCUUACGGGA